This 445-nucleotide ribosomal RNA is filed under the name uncultured bacterium. Its description in RNAcentral is "partial 16S ribosomal RNA". It matches the Rfam family "Bacterial small subunit ribosomal RNA", at positions 330 to 792 of the family's 1533-position model. The record is from RNAcentral.
UCCAGACUCCUACGGGAGGCAGCAGUGGGGGAUAUUGCACAAUGGGGGAAACCCUGAUGCAGCAACGCCGCGUGAGUGAUGACGGCCUUCGGGUUGUAAAGCUCUGUCUUCAGGGACGAUAAUGACGGUACCUGAGGAGGAAGCCCCGGCUAACUACGUGCCAGCAGCCGCGGUAAUACGUAGGGGGCAAGCGUUAUCCGGAUUUACUGGGUGUAAAGGGAGCGUAGACGGAAAGGCAAGUCAGAAGUGAAAGCCCAAGGCUCAACCAUGGGACUGCUUUUGAAACUGUCAAACUAGAGUACGGGAGAGGUAAGAGGAAUUCCUAGUGUAGCGGUGAAAUGCGUAGAUAUUAGGAGGAACACCAGUGGCGAAGGCGUCUUACUGGACCGAAACUGACGUUGAGGCUCGAAAGCGUGGGGAGCAAACAGGAUUAGAUACCCCAGUA